RNAcentral lists this long non-coding RNA (379 nucleotides) under Citrus x clementina. RNAcentral describes it as "Citrus clementina (C. clementina) long non-coding RNA (CCLE_LNC002444)". The record is from RNAcentral. Lineage: Eukaryota; Viridiplantae; Streptophyta; Magnoliopsida; Sapindales; Rutaceae.
UUCUCUUCUCUCUAUGAAGAACUAAACCUAUUAUUCUAGUUGAAGGUUAAUAAAGUUUUGAUUCAUCAUUACUGUGAGAUCUUUCUUAUGCUUUAAUUGUUUUAUUGAUUUUUGGAUAUUUGUUUAUUCUCUAAAUUAUUGUCAUGAUUAUGUUUGUUAAUUAGAUAAUUGGCCACUAUUUAAUUAUCAACUUAAUCUAUUGUCAAUUAAAAGAUUCAUCGUAUGAAGAUUUUAAUGUUUGUGACAAAUAGCAUAGCAGUGCGUUGUGUUAUGAGAAUAAACAAUCUAAUUUAAAUGAACCAUCGUAUGCGUUUGUUGAUUAGGAUUUGGGUCUCUCUGGUUUUUCAGGCUGUCAAUUGGUUAAAUCCUAUGAUCGUAU